This 255-nucleotide ribosomal RNA is filed under the name Escherichia coli. RNAcentral describes it as "partial 23S ribosomal RNA". It matches the Rfam family "Bacterial large subunit ribosomal RNA", at positions 1082 to 1335 of the family's 2925-position model. Lineage: Bacteria; Pseudomonadati; Pseudomonadota; Gammaproteobacteria; Enterobacterales; Enterobacteriaceae. The record is from RNAcentral.
GGCCCAGACAGCCAGGAUGUUGGCUUAGAAGCAGCCAUCAUUUAAAGAAAGCGUAAUAGCUCACUGGUCGAGUCGGCCUGCGCGGAAGAUGUAACGGGGCUAAACCAUGCACCGAAGCUGCGGCAGCAACGCUUAUGCGUUGUUGGGUAGGGGAGCGUUCUGUAAGCCUGUGAAGGUGUACUGUGAGGUAUGCUGGAGGUAUCAGAAGUGCGAAUGCUGACAUAAGUAACGAUAAAGCGGGUGAAAAGCCCGCUC